This 94-nucleotide microRNA precursor is filed under the name Canis lupus familiaris (dog). Its description in RNAcentral is "mir-8799 microRNA precursor family". It matches the Rfam family "mir-8799 microRNA precursor family". The record is from Rfam by way of RNAcentral. Lineage: Eukaryota; Metazoa; Chordata; Mammalia; Carnivora; Canidae. RNAcentral also lists the same sequence under 1 other name.
GGGGGUAGUGCAGGAUCGGGGCUAUGUCCCCUGGUGCCCUGGGCUCCAGGGCCUGUGCCGCUGGAAUCGGGUUCCUGGGGCCGUGCAGCCCCCU